UACGUAGGGUGCGAGCGUUGUCCGGAAUUACUGGGCGUAAAGAGCUCGUAGGUGGUUUGUCGCGUUGUCCGUGAAAACUCACAACUCAAUUGUGGGCGUGCGGGCGAUACGGGCAGACUGGAGUACUGCAGGGGAGACUGGAAUUCCUGGUGUAGCGGUGGAAUGCGCAGAUAUCAGGAGGAGCACCCGUGGCGAAGGCGAAUCUCUGGACCGGUUCUGACGCUGAGGAGCGAAAGCUAGGGGAGCAAACAGG
RNAcentral lists this ribosomal RNA (253 nucleotides) under uncultured bacterium. RNAcentral's name for it is "partial 16S ribosomal RNA". It matches the Rfam family "Bacterial small subunit ribosomal RNA", at positions 524 to 776 of the family's 1533-position model. The record is from RNAcentral.